UGUUUCGGCAAGGGGGUCAUCCCGACUUACCAACCCGAUGCAAACUGCGAAUACCGGAGAAUGUUAUCACGGGAGACACACGGCGGGUGCUAACGUCCGUCGUGAAGAGGGAAACAACCCAGACCGCCAGCUAAGGUCCCAAAGUCAUGGUUAAGUGGGAAACGAUGUGGGAAGGCCCAGACAGCCAGGAUGUUGGCUUAGAAGCAGCCAUCAUUUAAAGAAAGCGUAAUAGCUCACUGGUCGAGUCGGCCUGCGCGGAAGAUGUAACGGGGCUAAACCAUGCACCGAAGCUGCGGCAGCGACGCUUAUGCGUUGUUGGGUAGGGGAGCGUUCUGUAAGCCUGUGAAGGUGUGCUGUGAGGCAUGCUGGAGGUAUCAGAAGUGCGAAUGCUGACAUAAGUAACGAUAAAGCGGGUGAAAAGCCCGCUCGCCGGAAGACCAAGGGUUCCUGUCCAACGUUAAUCGGGGCAGGGUGAGUCGACCCCUAAGGCGAGGCCGAAAGGCGUAGUCGAUGGGAAACAGGUUAAUAUUCCUGUACUUGGUGUUACUGCGAAGGGGGGACGGAGAAGGCUAUGUUGGCCGGGCGACGGUUGUCCCGGUUUAAGCGUGUAGGCUGGUUUUCCAGGCAAAUCCGGAAAAUCAAGGCUGAGGCGUGAUGACGAGGCACUACGGUGCUGAAGCAACAAAUGCCCUGCUUCCAGGAAAAGCCUCUAAGCAUCAGGUAACAUCAAAUCGUACCCCAAACCGACACAGGUGGUCAGGUAGAGAAUACCAAGGCGCUUGAGAGAACUCGGGUGAAGGAACUAGGCAAAAUGGUGCCGUAACUUCGGGAGAAGGCACGCUGAUAUGUAGGUGAAGUCCCUCGCGGAUGGAGCUGAAAUCAGUCGAAGAUACCAGCUGGCUGCAACUGUUUAUUAAAAACACAGCACUGUGCAAACACGAAAGUGGACGUAUACGGUGUGACGCCUGCCCGGUGCCGGAAGGUUAAUUGAUGGGGUCAGCGCAAGCGAAGCUCUUGAUCGAAGCCCCGGUAAACGGCGGCCGUAACUAUAACGGUCCUAAGGUAGCGAAAUUCCUUGUCGGGUAAGUUCCGACCUGCACGAAUGGCGUAAUGAUGGCCAGGCUGUCUCCACCCGAGACUCAGUGAAAUUGAACUCGCUGUGAAGAUGCAGUGUACCCGCGGCAAGACGGAAAGACCCCGUGAACCUUUACUAUAGCUUGACACUGAACAUUGAGCCUUGAUGUGUAGGAUAGGUGGGAGGCUUAGAAGUGUGGACGCCAGUCUGCAUGGAGCCGACCUUGAAAUACCACCCUUUAAUGUUUGAUGUUCUAACGUUGACCCGUAAUCCGGGUUGCGGACAGUGUCUGGUGGGUAGUUUGACUGGGGCGGUCUCCUCCUAAAGAGUAACGGAGGAGCACGAAGGUUGGCUAAUCCUGGUCGGACAUCAGGAGGUUAGUGCAAUGGCAUAAGCCAGCUUGACUGCGAGCGUGACGGCGCGAGCAGGUGCGAAAGCAGGUCAUAGUGAUCCGGUGGUUCUGAAUGGAAGGGCCAUCGCUCAACGGAUAAAAGGUACUCCGGGGAUAACAGGCUGAUACCGCCCAAGAGUUCAUAUCGACGGCGGUGUUUGGCACCUCGAUGUCGGCUCAUCACAUCCUGGGGCUGAAGUAGGUCCCAAGGGUAUGGCUGUUCGCCAUUUAAAGUGGUACGCGAGCUGGGUUUAGAACGUCGUGAGACAGUUCGGUCCCUAUCUGCCGUGGGCGCUGGAGAACUGAGGGGGGCUGCUCCUAGUACGAGAGGACCGGAGUGGACGCAUCACUGGUGUUCGGGUUGUCAUGCCAAUGGCACUGCCCGGUAGCUAAAUGCGGAAGAGAUAAGUGCUGAAAGCAUCUAAGCACGAAACUUGCCCCGAGAUGAGUUCUCCCUGACUCCUUGAG
This 1934-nucleotide ribosomal RNA is filed under the name Escherichia coli. Its description in RNAcentral is "partial 23S ribosomal RNA". It matches the Rfam family "Bacterial large subunit ribosomal RNA", at positions 911 to 2825 of the family's 2925-position model. The record is from RNAcentral. Lineage: Bacteria; Pseudomonadati; Pseudomonadota; Gammaproteobacteria; Enterobacterales; Enterobacteriaceae.